Molecule: ribosomal RNA, 497 nt
Filed under: uncultured bacterium
Lineage: Bacteria
Description: partial 16S ribosomal RNA
Rfam family: Bacterial small subunit ribosomal RNA
Source: RNAcentral
GAUGAACGCUGGCGGCGUGCCUAAUACAUGCAAGUCGAGCGAACGGACGAGAAGCUUGCUUCUCUGAUGUUAGCGGCGGACGGGUGAGUAACACGUGGAUAACCUACCUAUAAGACUGGGAUAACUUCGGGAAACCGUAGCUAAUACCGGAUAAUAUUUUGAACCGCAUGGUUCAAAAGUGAAAGACGGUCUUGCUGUCACUUAUAGAUGGAUCCGCGCUGCAUUAGCUAGUUGGUAAGGUAACGGCUUACCAAGGCAACGAUGCAUAGCCGACCUGAGAGGGUGGUCGGCCACACUGGAACUGAGACACGGUCCAGACGCCUACGGGAGGCAGCAGUAGGGAAUCUUCCGCAAUGGGCGGAAGCCUGACGGAGCAACGCCGCGUGAGUGAUGAAGGUCUUCGGAUCGUAAAACUCUGUUAUUAGGGAAGAACAUAUGUGUAAGUAACUGUGCACAUCUUGACGGUACCUAAUCAGAAAGCCACGGCUAACUACGUG